AGGAGAAUCGCUUGAACCUGGGAGGUAGAGGUUGCGGUGAGCCGAGAUCUUGCCAUUGCACUCCAGCCUAGGCAACGAGAGCGAAACUCCGUCUCAAAAAAAAAAAAAAAAAAAUUAGCCUGGCGUGGUGGAGCGCACCUGUAAUCCCAGCUACUUGGGAGGCUGAGGCAGGAGAAUCGCUUGAACCUGAGAGGUGGAGGUUACAGUGAGCCAAGAUGGCGCCACUGCCCUCCAGCCUGGGCAUAAGAUUGAGACUCCGUCUCAAAAAAAAAAAAAAGAUUUAUGAUCUUAGAAUAGACAAGUAUUUUUUAAAUAGGACAUAGAAAGUGCUUACCUUAAAGGAAAAGAUGGAUAAACUGGACUGUAUUAAAAUUAAGGGCUUCUGUUCCUCAAAAGACAUCAUUAAGAGAAUGAAAAAGCAAGGCACGGCAUGGAAGAAGACAGUAACAAAAACAACUCCAAAAACAUACUAAAUAAAGACGCUUAGAAAUCGGUAUCAAAACGACAUCCCAACAGAAAACCGGGCAAAAAGUGUGCAUGUAACAACAGAGAUAUCCAAAUGUUCAAUAUAUUACAAAGUGCUUAACCUCAUUAGUAAUCAGAGAAAUGCAAACUCAAGCCAGAAUUAAACCUCCUACAUACCCACCUACAUACCCACCAGCAUCACUGUAACUAAACAAUGAUCAGGCUGAUAUAGUGGCUCAUGCCUGUAAUCUCAGUGCUCAGAGAGGCUGAGGCUGGAGGAUCGCCUGAGACCAGGAGUUCCUGACCAGCCUGGGCCAUGUAGUGAGACUCCAUCUCUACCAAAAAAUAAUAAUAAAUAAAUUAAAUUACCCAGGCAUGGUGACACACACUUACAGUCCUAGCUACUCAAGAGGCUGAGGUGGGGCUGGUGGCUCACGCCUGUAAUCCCAGCACUUUGGGAGGCCAAGGCAAAGUUGGGAGGCAAGAUGAACUGAGGUCAGCAGUUCGAGACCAGCCUGGCCAUCAUGGCCAACCCCGUCUCUCCUAAAACACAAAAUUAGCCAGGUGUGGUGGUGGGCGCCUGUAAUCCCAGCUACUCGGGAGGCUGAGGCAGGAGAAUCACUUCAACCCGGGAGGCAGAGGUUGCAGUGAGCUGAGAUCGCGCCACUACACUCCAGCCUGGGCAACAAGAGUGAAACUCCAUCUCGAAAAAAAAAAAAAAAAAGAGGCUGAGAUGGGAGGAUCAUUUGAGCCCAGGAGUUUAAGAAUGCAAUGAACUAUUACCAUGCUACUGCAUGCUCACCAGAGUGAUAGAGUGAGACCCUGUCUCUCUAGGAAAAAAAAAAAAAGUGAUCUUAUCCAACGUCAGUGAGGAUGUGGAGUAGCUGGAACUCUCAAACCCAGCUGAUAGGACUGUAAAAUAGUACAACUCAUUUAAAAAACUUUUAUAGUUUAUCUACUGUUCAUCUCUAAUGACCCAGUUAAUUACUUAUAAAUGCACACAUGUAUAUGCCAAAAUACAUGUCCAAGAAUAUUCGUAACAUUAUUUGUAACAUCCAAAACAUGAAAAUACUCCAAUGUCCAUCCACAGAACAGUGGUAUACAAUUGCCACAGAAUACUACAUAGCUAUGAAAACACGCUAUUAUCACAAUGACAUGGAUUCAUACCACAAACACGCUGACAGAUAAAACUCCAGAAAAUACUGUAUGAUUCCAUUUCUAUCAAAUUCAGAAACUACCAAGACUAACUGAAGUUGAUAAAACACUAGUUUCCAUUUUGGGGGUAAGAGAGUAAACACUGGGAGGGGGUCAUAACGGGGUCUUAUAGGAUGCUGGUCCUGUUCUAUUUCUUGAUGUGGGCGGUGGUUAAAUGGUGCAUUCCCUUUGUGAAAAUGCAUGAAGCUAUACACCUUUGGUUUGGUUUAUGUUUCUACGUUACACUUGAGUAAAAGUUUACUUUAAAAAUACAGGAACAGCAUACAAGAACACUUCCAGGCCGGGCGCGGCGGCUCACGCCUGUAAUCCCAGCACUUUGGGAGGCUGAGGUGGACGGAUUGCUUAAACCCAGGAGUUCGAGACCAGCCUGGGAAACAUGGUGAAACUCCAUCUCCACAAAAAAUACAAAAAUUAGCCAAACGCGGUGGUGCACGCCUGUGGUGCUAGCGACUCGGGAGGCUGAAGCAGGAGGAUCCCUGGAGCCCAGGAUGCUGAGCAGGCCGGCUACCUCCAGUCCAGCACAGUGAACUGGUGCUACAAGGGCCAACCCAGGCUCUGCCCCAAAGCAGGAGCUGAGACCGUUUCCUAGAAGGCAGGCCCACUGGAAAUGUCUCCACCAAAAGCAGCUACAAACGAAUAUGACCUUCAGGUAUUAAGGCUUUGGUUCUCUAGAAAACUGUCACGGCACUGAGGUAACUUGACAACCCAUAAUCGCUGUUCUCCAUGUAAACUGUGGCUCUAUUUGUCCAAGGUGAAGUAUCGUAAAUUGAAAUGAAGUACUCAAUUGUAAAUUUUUUUUUUAAAUUUCCAAAUUAAGCUAAAUUAAAAAAACAAAAAUUGCCAAAACCUUAACCUACAAAAUAAACUUUUUGGACAGUAGCCACCUGAGCUCUAAAUAAUUGUAUCAUUUAUAUUUCAAAUCUAAUACACUGGUGA
RNAcentral lists this long non-coding RNA (2616 nucleotides) under Homo sapiens (human). RNAcentral describes it as "HSALNT0235818". Lineage: Eukaryota; Metazoa; Chordata; Mammalia; Primates; Hominidae. The record is from RNAcentral.